RNAcentral lists this transfer RNA (74 nucleotides) under Bacilli bacterium. RNAcentral describes it as "tRNA-Pro". It matches the Rfam family "tRNA". From Rfam's summary of the family: Transfer RNA (tRNA) molecules are approximately 80 nucleotides in length. Their secondary structure includes four short double-helical elements and three loops (D, anti-codon, and T loops). The record is from RNAcentral. Lineage: Bacteria; Bacillati; Bacillota; Bacilli.
GGGGUAAUAAUUCAAUGGCAGAAUGCUUUUAUGGCAUGAAAGAAAUACGAGUUCGAUUCUCGUUUGCUCCACCA